GACGAACGCUGGCGGCGUGCUUAACACAUGCAAGUCGAACGGAAAGGCCUCUUUCGGGGGGUACUCGAGUGGCGAACGGGUGAGUAACACGUGGGUAACCUGCCCUUGACUUUGGGAUAACUUCAGGAAACUGGGGCUAAUACCGGAUAGGAGCUCCUGCUGCAUGGUGGGGGUUGGAAAGUUUCGGCGGUUGGGGAUGGACUCGCGGCUUAUCAGCUUGUUGGUGGGGUAGUGGCUUACCAAGGCUUUGACGGGUAGCCGGCCUGAGAGGGUGACCGGCCACAUUGGGACUGAGAUACGGCCCAGACUCCUACGGGAGGCAGCAGUGGGGAAUAUUGCACAAUGGGUGGAAGCCUGAUGCAGCAACGCCGUGUGCGGGAUGACGGCCUUCGGGUUGUAAACCGCUUUCGCUCAUGACGAAGCUUUGUGUGACGGUAGUGGGUAAAGAAGCACCGGCUAACUACGU
This 466-nucleotide ribosomal RNA is filed under the name uncultured bacterium. Its description in RNAcentral is "partial 16S ribosomal RNA". It matches the Rfam family "Bacterial small subunit ribosomal RNA", at positions 28 to 506 of the family's 1533-position model. The record is from RNAcentral.